GGUCACUUCCUUUGGUCAGUAAGGGAGCAGCUUUCGGGACCCACCCCCAAACGAUGAUGUUUAGGGGACCCUCUCAGGGCCUACAAGGAUCUGGGUCUCCUCCUCUCUGUCAUUAUUCUAUUUUGCCAGCAGUGCCCAGAACUUGGUUCUGCUUCAAGCCGCAGAGUGGAGGAGAAGACACCAAGUCUUGGAGAUGCUGUUUCAUGGAGUCUUGGCUUUGCGGAACAUAAGGAGUUUCGCUCUUGCUGCCCAGGCUGGAGUGCAGUGGCACGAUCUCACCUCACCGCAACCUCCGCCUCCAGGGUUCAAGCAGUUCUCCUGCCUCAGCCUCCCGAGUAGCUGGGAUUACAGAAGCAAGCAACUAUGUUGUGAUCAGCCCCAGGAGAGGGUCAUGUGGCAGGAAAUGGUAGGUGGCUCCAGGACCUGAGGGAAGCCAGCAGUCAGCGAGACGCAGGGUGCCUUCCAUCACUGGUUGCAAGGAAAUGAAUUCUGCCAAGUUGGACGAGCUUGACAGCAGAUUCUUCCCCACUCGCACCUCCAGAUGAGAAUGCAGCCUCUCCCUCCAACACCUUGACUGUAGCCCCAAGAGACCCUGAGCAGAAGACACAGCCAAGCAGUGCCCAGACUUCACCCAUGGAAACUGUGGAAGAAUAAAUGUGUGCUGUU
Symphalangus syndactylus (siamang) is the source of this 666-nucleotide long non-coding RNA. RefSeq lists it as uncharacterized. The record is from RefSeq and is a predicted model, not a curated record. NCBI's taxonomy places the organism in Eukaryota, Metazoa, Chordata, Mammalia, Primates, Hylobatidae.